RNAcentral lists this ribosomal RNA (253 nucleotides) under uncultured bacterium. RNAcentral describes it as "partial 16S ribosomal RNA". It matches the Rfam family "Bacterial small subunit ribosomal RNA", at positions 524 to 776 of the family's 1533-position model. The record is from RNAcentral.
UACGUAGGGUGCGAGCGUUAAUCGGAAUUACUGGGCGUAAAGCGUGCGCAGGCGGCUUUGCAAGACAGAUGUGAAAUCCCCGGGCUUAACCUGGGAAUUGCGCUUGAAACUAGCGGGCUUGAGUGUGGCAGAGGGGGGUGGAAUUCCACGUGUAGCAGUGAAAUGCGUAGAGAUGUGGAGGAACACCGAUGGCGAAGGCAGCCCCCUGGGUCAACACUGACGCUCAUGCACGAAAGCGUGGGGAGCAAACAGG